UGUGUGGGGAGAGGGAUUCACCUUUUCCAAGGGAAGAAAAUCCAAAAUAGACUACCUGUAAAACCCAGGCAGCUUUGGCUUUAUCUGAUGGAACUAUUUGUUACAACCAAGGCUUGGUUGCCGCCUUUGCCAAUUAGUGGACCCUUAAUUUCCCCUCACUUCUGUCUCCUUAAAUACCCCAUAGGAUCAUUGGCUAAAGAAGCAAAAACUAGGGAGACUCACUUGAAGCUCCCAUAGAGAAAAGUCAUUUUGUGUCAAGCAAAAGAAGCAGAUAAUUAUUCCCCUCCUCUUACUCUUUUUGUCCCUCUGAUGUAUAAUUAAGGGUAUGUAGCUCUUGAUUAUGCUGUCAAAUGGGACCAUUUUCUUUUCUGUCUCAACUCAUCACACACACAUACUUGUCAAGUUCAAGCUGAUGCUCCUUGGUGGAUGUUGUUAUCCACUCUGAUUGGAGAAAUGAUGUGCUUGCCUGGCUCCCUGAAUGCCAUGUAAGAAGCUUGUCAAAAAGAAUUGACAGCCUUUUUAUUUGGCAUGAGGGGAGUCAUGCAGGCUAUUUAGUCACCCAAUCAGAUAUGAGGAGAUCCAUCAGGAAGUACAAGCCUUUUCAGUACAUUGAAAUCAUGUUGGCCAGGUUUGUCACUGUUUUUCAUAGUGCCAUGUUGUGGUCAGUUGCUGCUAAAACACUACAGCAAAUGGAUAAUAGAGAUAACAAGUUUAAUUCAGCUGUGAACAAGUAUGUGAAAUCAAAUUCUGGAUAUUGACCAGAAUGAGAAAUGAUUCAACUGCUGCAAGCUCAAUUCUAUAACACAUACUAUCCAAGUCAUUUGAUCAGUAUCAGUGUUAUAGGCAAUUAAUAUAAGAUGAUCAAAUAUGUAAAGUUCACAUUCUCUCUUUCUUUCUCUUGAAGUGAAACAAAAUUUCAUGUCACUAUUAUACUUUGUCUACUACAUGUUAUUUGGAAGGUUCUAUACUUCCAUGUUUCUUUUUCUUACCUUACAUAUACUCCACAGCCUCCAACUGCCCUAGCUACUGCAUGAAACUCAGCUGCAUCAUGGAGACUCUAGAAAAUGUCGUUGAAAGAUUUAAUCAGAUUCUGGAUACAAGUUUAUAUAGUGGAUAAAAUAUUGAGGAUGCCAUAGCAUACAUAGAACAUGUCCCAAUCUGGUACAACAAUUUCACCAAAGAAUAUGCUGUUGAAAGCUACAGCAGCUAUAUGUAGACACUGAGUUGUGGGGGUUUUCAGAUAAUAAUCAUCAGAUGUUCGUGUGAUUGCACUUUGUUUUGAGCUGUCAAAUUCAAUGGGGCAACAUCAUUAUCUCAAGGGAAUAAUUCAUUAAAGUAGAAGAAAUUGAAACAGUACUGAAAAGUAUACUAGAGGAAUCCUACCAAAAAGUGCAUGCUCACAUGAAUGAUCUUUACAAGUCUUACAGUUACUGUUGAAAUUACACUAGAAGGAGUAGGGAGACAUUGUGCAAAUAAAUACUAACAAUUUAUUGGCGUACUAUGCAUGAUUCAUUUCUUAAUGUACAAAACAGAUAUUACUGAUUCUUAAUGCCUAAGUAUCGAUAUAAUUUGGUAGAAGUCAGUGCUUAAAGCCUUAAUGUACUGGUAAAUGGAGUCUGCGUUAUGACCAUGCAGUAGAUUAUGCUAUUGUCCUGAAAGUUAGAUGAUAUGGACUUUUCAAGCUCCUGUUGGAAGUGUCUAGUAAGAAUAACACGACCACCUAGACCACUUGAAAUUGUUUCCAGUAUGUUCUGAACAUCAACCUUAACUCUAUCAAUGUUUUGAGAGACAAGAUAACUGUGUAGAUCAUCAUAAAAGUCUGAAAUUUUAGCUGGAUCAAUGACACUGAUACCGUACUUCUCCAUGACACCGAUAUUGUUUGAAACACAUAUAGAGGAAGUAUAAAUCAAAAUUAACAAAGAUACUAAUAGUUGUAAAUUUGUUGUCUCCUAUAUAUUUCAAUAGCUGAGCUACUUCACUAGAUUAAAUGGAUGGUCUGCAAUAUUCAUGAAAACAGCAUUUAGGGACUGGGAUGUAACUGAUGCCGGGUCUCAUACAAAAUUCAGAGAGAACUCUAUUUCACAAACAAAAAGAACAAGAAUAGAAAGAAAAAAAGGCAACUACACUUUAUCAGGAACAAUUGGCUUUAUAUUUUCUUUUCAUUUCAUUUCCUAUUUCUUAGCUAAGUUGGCUCAUAUAUAUAGGCUUUGCUUUUGCCACAACUGACAUCCAUUUUCCUAUUAAGUGAAGUCAUUUGACUCCAUACUUAAUCUCUGUUGAUAUAUCAUAAAUUGAUAUAAGUGAUUGUUUAGGUACUUAGGAUCUCAUAUUGCAAGUAAAGGACUCUCAAUAAUAUCACUUUCUCACUUCCUUGGAUUGCAGAGUUGAUGCCUAAUAGACUGAGAAGAUGUUGUAACCGGAUGGUCCGUGUGUAUUGUUAGAGGAACGGAGUUUUAAAGGGAAAAAUGGAUAAUAUUUAAAUAUGCUGAAGUCUUUACCACUUUCAACACAAAUCUCAAGUUCAUUAGAUGAAUUUCCUUGCAAGCUGCUUCUAAAUUCACCAUCUAGAACUGGCAAGAAAAUGAAAUAUGAAUUAUGCUCCUUGGAUGAUUGUGAAUUUCCUUCCCUUGCUUCAAUGAGAAACAUCUGAGUUCAAUAGGAAUAUCUCUCCCUUAGUUUCCUACUCGCAGUAUCAUCCACCAAAUUUUAAAUCUGUAUAGGAACAGUAAUCUGACAUCCUUGCAUCACUCAAAACAAAUCUUCGAAAACUUUUAUUGCAUUUGCAUUAUAAGCAGUUUCAUAGGCAGACUUAGUAGAAUAAUUUAUCAAGAGUUCUGGUUGACAUACAAAGACCCAGAGACGAGUAGUGGCUAUUGGAUUCCUAAUAUAAUGUAGCCGAGCAGUUUUUAGAUAGACAUUUUUUUUUCCAUUUGCUGUAAAAAACAACAACAGUGUGGUUUGUCAUUGUAUUCAGGGCUUAAACAAAAGCAAAAUGAACAUCAACAACUUCUAACAGCUCCUAGCAGGCAUGCCAAAUAUAGGGUGGAGUAGUCAUUUUCACUAUUGAAGUUGCUAUUGCCUUCUUAGUGUGAAUUAAGAACCUGAAUCCAUUAUACUUUCAGGCUUUUACAAAAGCAACUUUAACUUCUUUUAGAAGAAAGCAACACAAAUAAUCGAAAGAAUAUAGACAAAGAGGUAAACAGUUCAUAUGUUAUGUUUAUAUCUAAUCGUUGAAUUUGAGUGCAUUUGGAAACAUUCAUCCUUAUUUUCUUUAAUUUUGUCAUUUGGAACUUGUGAUGUGCGUUUUUGUUUAUUUAUUUGAAUUUUAGGAAGUUUACCCAUGAAAGGCUUGACAUGAGAGACUUGGAAAAGCAAAGGAAUGAUAACAAGCAUUGGAACAUGAAGACUACAAAUCAAAACUAGAGGCAACCAUGAUUACUAGGACACCUUAAAUUCUCAACUCGAGACAUCCAAGGGAAAUCUGCUGGUCGUACGACAGUCGUGGAGUGUGAUAGAUUUUAGUUUUCAUUAGUUAUUUUUGUCUUUUAACUGUUUUAGGCUUGGACCCUUUUGAUACCUUGAAUAUAAAUAGAUCUUUUAGGACUGAAACCUAUGGGGGGCAAUCGUCUUCUUCUCCUUCUUCCUUCAGUUUGAAUGUUUCUUCUUUAUUUUACUUUCUCUGUGACCAUGUUUGACUAAUCUCAUCAUUCUAGAAUUGGUACUUAGUUAGCCCUUGAUGACUAUUGUUCGUUUUAAUUGAAUUGCGUUUGUGUUUAA
Long non-coding RNA from Glycine soja, 3777 nucleotides. RefSeq lists it as uncharacterized. NCBI's taxonomy places the organism in Eukaryota, Viridiplantae, Streptophyta, Magnoliopsida, Fabales, Fabaceae. The transcript has 2 exons. The record is from RefSeq and is a predicted model, not a curated record.